UACGUAGGGGGCAAGCGUUGUCCGGAUUUGUUGGGCGUAAAGAGCGUGUAGGCGGUUUGGUAGGUCCGCUGUGAAAACUCACAGCUCAACUGUGGGCGUGCGGGCGAUACGGGCAGACUAGAGUACUGCAGGGGAGACUGGAAUUCCUGGUGUAGCGGUGGAAUGCGCAGAUAUCAGGAGGAACACCGGUGGCGAAGGCGGGUCUCUGGGCAGUAACUGACGCUGAGGAGCGAAAGCGUGGGGAGCGAACAGG
This 253-nucleotide ribosomal RNA is filed under the name uncultured bacterium. RNAcentral's name for it is "partial 16S ribosomal RNA". It matches the Rfam family "Bacterial small subunit ribosomal RNA", at positions 524 to 776 of the family's 1533-position model. The record is from RNAcentral.